AUACGACUCUCGGCAACGGAUAUCUCGGCUCUCGCAUCGAUGAAGAACGCAGCGAAAUGCGAUACUUGGUGUGAAUUGCAGAAUCCCGUGAAUCAUCGAGUCUUUGAACGCAAGUUGCGCCCGAGGCCCUUCGGCCGAGGGCACAUCUGCUUGGGCGUCGAC
Molecule: ribosomal RNA, 162 nt
Filed under: Peperomia glabella
Lineage: Eukaryota; Viridiplantae; Streptophyta; Magnoliopsida; Piperales; Piperaceae
Also listed under: 5 other names
Description: 5.8S ribosomal RNA
Rfam family: 5.8S ribosomal RNA
About the family: 5.8S ribosomal RNA (5.8S rRNA) is a component of the large subunit of the eukaryotic ribosome. It is transcribed by RNA polymerase I as part of the 45S precursor that also contains 18S and 28S rRNA.
Source: RNAcentral